This 1512-nucleotide ribosomal RNA is filed under the name Mycobacterium tuberculosis. Its description in RNAcentral is "bacterial SSU rRNA". It matches the Rfam family "Bacterial small subunit ribosomal RNA". Lineage: Bacteria; Bacillati; Actinomycetota; Actinomycetes; Mycobacteriales; Mycobacteriaceae. The record is from RNAcentral.
AGAGUUUGAUCCUGGCUCAGGACGAACGCUGGCGGCGUGCUUAACACAUGCAAGUCGAACGGAAAGGUCUCUUCGGAGAUACUCGAGUGGCGAACGGGUGAGUAACACGUGGGUGAUCUGCCCUGCACUUCGGGAUAAGCCUGGGAAACUGGGUCUAAUACCGGAUAGGACCACGGGAUGCAUGUCUUGUGGUGGAAAGCGCUUUAGCGGUGUGGGAUGAGCCCGCGGCCUAUCAGCUUGUUGGUGGGGUGACGGCCUACCAAGGCGACGACGGGUAGCCGGCCUGAGAGGGUGUCCGGCCACACUGGGACUGAGAUACGGCCCAGACUCCUACGGGAGGCAGCAGUGGGGAAUAUUGCACAAUGGGCGCAAGCCUGAUGCAGCGACGCCGCGUGGGGGAUGACGGCCUCGGGUUGUAAACCUCUUUCACCAUCGACGAAGGUCCGGGUUCUCUCGGAUUGACGGUAGGUGGAGAAGAAGCACCGGCCAACUACGUGCCAGCAGCCGCGGUAAUACGUAGGGUGCGAGCGUUGUCCGGAAUUACUGGGCGUAAAGAGCUCGUAGGUGGUUUGUCGCGUUGUUCGUGAAAUCUCACGGCUUAACUGUGAGCGUGCGGGCGAUACGGGCAGACUAGAGUACUGCAGGGGAGACUGGAAUUCCUGGUGUAGCGGUGGAAUGCGCAGAUAUCAGGAGGAACACCGGUGGCGAAGGCGGGUCUCUGGGCAGUAACUGACGCUGAGGAGCGAAAGCGUGGGGAGCGAACAGGAUUAGAUACCCUGGUAGUCCACGCCGUAAACGGUGGGUACUAGGUGUGGGUUUCCUUCCUUGGGAUCCGUGCCGUAGCUAACGCAUUAAGUACCCCGCCUGGGGAGUACGGCCGCAAGGCUAAAACUCAAAGGAAUUGACGGGGGCCCGCACAAGCGGCGGAGCAUGUGGAUUAAUUCGAUGCAACGCGAAGAACCUUACCUGGGUUUGACAUGCACAGGACGCGUCUAGAGAUAGGCGUUCCCUUGUGGCCUGUGUGCAGGUGGUGCAUGGCUGUCGUCAGCUCGUGUCGUGAGAUGUUGGGUUAAGUCCCGCAACGAGCGCAACCCUUGUCUCAUGUUGCCAGCACGUAAUGGUGGGGGACUCGUGAGAGACUGCCGGGGUCAACUCGGAGGAAGGUGGGGAUGACGUCAAGUCAUCAUGCCCCUUAUGUCCAGGGCUUCACACAUGCUACAAUGGCCGGUACAAAGGGCUGCGAUGCCGCGAGGUUAAGCGAAUCCUUAAAAGCCGGUCUCAGUUCGGAUCGGGGUCUGCAACUCGACCCCGUGAAGUCGGAGUCGCUAGUAAUCGCAGAUCAGCAACGCUGCGGUGAAUACGUUCCCGGGCCUUGUACACACCGCCCGUCACGUCAUGAAAGUCGGUAACACCCGAAGCCAGUGGCCUAACCCUCGGGAGGGAGCUGUCGAAGGUGGGAUCGGCGAUUGGGACGAAGUCGUAACAAGGUAGCCGUACCGGAAGGUGCGGCUG